GCCCUUGUAGCUCAGUCGGUAGAGCGCGUCCUUGGUAAGGACGAGGUCACCGGUUCAAGUCCGGUCAAGGGCUCCA
This 76-nucleotide transfer RNA is filed under the name Verrucomicrobiales bacterium. Its description in RNAcentral is "tRNA-Thr". It matches the Rfam family "tRNA". From Rfam's summary of the family: Transfer RNA (tRNA) molecules are approximately 80 nucleotides in length. Their secondary structure includes four short double-helical elements and three loops (D, anti-codon, and T loops). Further hydrogen bonds mediate the characteristic L-shaped molecular structure. tRNAs have two regions of fundamental functional importance: the anti-codon, which is responsible for specific mRNA codon recognition, and the 3' end, to which the tRNAs corresponding amino acid is attached (by aminoacyl-tRNA synthetases). tRNAs cope with the degeneracy of the genetic code in two manners: having more than one tRNA (with a specific anti-codon) for a particular amino acid; and 'wobble' base-pairing, i.e. permitting non-standard base-pairing at the 3rd anti-codon position. The record is from RNAcentral. Lineage: Bacteria; Pseudomonadati; Verrucomicrobiota; Verrucomicrobiia; Verrucomicrobiales.